This 67-nucleotide transfer RNA is filed under the name Paphnutius ruficeps. RNAcentral describes it as "tRNA-Arg". The record is from RNAcentral. Lineage: Eukaryota; Metazoa; Arthropoda; Insecta; Hemiptera; Cercopidae.
AGUAGAGAAGUAAUUUACAUUUAGUUUCGACCUAAAUAAUAAAGAAUUGAUUUAUUCUUCCUAUUUG